UACGGAGGGUCCGAGCGUUAUCCGGAAUUACUGGGUUUAAAGGGUGCGCAGGCUGCCGCGUCAGUCAGGAGUGAAAUCCCGGGGCUCAACCCCGGGCCUGCUCUUGAUACUGCGCGGCUCGGAUCAGGAUGAGGUAGGCGGAAUGUGGCAUGUAGCGGUGAAAUGCUUAGAUAUGCCAUGGAACACCGAUUGCGUAGGCAGCCUACUGGACCUCGAUCGACGCUGAGGCACGAAAGCGUGGGGAGCGAACGGG
Molecule: ribosomal RNA, 253 nt
Filed under: uncultured bacterium
Lineage: Bacteria
Description: partial 16S ribosomal RNA
Rfam family: Bacterial small subunit ribosomal RNA
Source: RNAcentral